Molecule: ribosomal RNA, 405 nt
Filed under: uncultured bacterium
Lineage: Bacteria
Description: bacterial SSU rRNA
Rfam family: Bacterial small subunit ribosomal RNA
Source: RNAcentral
UGGGGAAUAUUGCGCAAUGGGGGAAACCCUGACGCAGCAACGCCGCGUGAAGGAUGAAGGCUUUCGGGUUGUAAACUUCUUUAAUGAGGGACGAAAGAAAUGACGGUACCUCAAAAACAAGCCACGGCUAACUACGUGCCAGCAGCCGCGGUAAUACGUAGGUGGCGAGCGUUGUCCGGAAUUACUGGGUGUAAAGGGCGUGUAGGCGGGGAUGCAAGUCAGAUGUGAAAUGCCGGGGCUUAACUCCGGAGCUGCAUCUGAAACUGUGUUUCUUGAGUGUCGGAGAGGAAAGCGGAAUUCCCAGUGUAGCGGUGAAAUGCGUAGAUAUUGGGAGGAACACCAGUGGCGAAGGCGGCUUUCUGGACGAUAACUGACGCUGAGGCGCGAAAGCGUGGGGAGCAAACA